Molecule: ribosomal RNA, 461 nt
Filed under: uncultured Chitinophagaceae bacterium
Lineage: Bacteria; Pseudomonadati; Bacteroidota; Chitinophagia; Chitinophagales; Chitinophagaceae
Description: bacterial SSU rRNA
Rfam family: Bacterial small subunit ribosomal RNA
Source: RNAcentral
GCCUACGGGUGGCAGCAGUAAGGAAUAUUGGUCAAUGGACGCAAGUCUGAACCAGCCAUGCCGCGUGAAGGAUGAAGGCCCUCUGGGUUGUAAACUUCUUUUAUCUGGGACGAAAAAAGGGCUUUCUAGCUCGACUGACGGUACCAGAGGAAUAAGCACCGGCUAACUCCGUGCCAGCAGCCGCGGUAAUACGGAGGGUGCAAGCGUUAUCCGGAUUCACUGGGUUUAAAGGGAGCGUAGGUGGGCUGGUAAGUCAGUGGUGAAAUCUCCGGGCUUAACUUGGAAACUGCCAUUGAUACUAUCAGUCUUGAAUAUUGUGGAGGUCAGCGGAAUAUGUCAUGUAGCGGUGAAAUGCUUAGAUAUGACAUAGAACACCAAUUGCGAAGGCAGCUGGCUACACAUAUAUUGACACUGAGGCUCGAAAGCGUGGGGAUCAAACAGGAUUAGAUACCCUUGUAGUC